CAUCACUUUGCAUGUUUAUAUGGAUAUUAUCACAAAUGUGUGUAUAUAUAUAUAUAUAUAUAUAUAUAUAUAUAUAUAUAUACAUAUUUAUUUGUGAUAAUAUCCAUAUAAACAUGCAAAGUAUAA
This is a non-coding RNA of Pelobates cultripes (western spadefoot toad), 126 nucleotides long. The record is from the annotation of a GenBank genome assembly. NCBI's taxonomy places the organism in Eukaryota, Metazoa, Chordata, Amphibia, Anura, Pelobatidae.